Molecule: small RNA, 181 nt
Filed under: Pseudomonas japonica
Lineage: Bacteria; Pseudomonadati; Pseudomonadota; Gammaproteobacteria; Pseudomonadales; Pseudomonadaceae
Description: Pseudomonas sRNA P1
Rfam family: Pseudomonas sRNA P1
About the family: There appears to be two related copies of P1 sRNA in the P.aeruginosa PA01 genome and both copies appear to be located upstream of predicted glutamine synthetase genes. This sRNA appears to be conserved amongst several Pseudomonas species.
Source: Rfam by way of RNAcentral
ACCCCCGGUAUUAUUGAUGUUAUGGGUUGCGACCGAGCUUAGCCUUGUUCAUUUUUUUACACAACACCCCCGUAAAAAAUAAAAUACGGCUUUCAUGUUCCAGCUCUUCAACGACUAAAGCAGCCCUUGUCGACGCCCUCAAUUGCAGCAAAAUUGCCGCUAUGGUGCCUUUUUAGGGCAU